Oncorhynchus keta (chum salmon) is the source of this 2131-nucleotide long non-coding RNA. RefSeq lists it as uncharacterized. The transcript has 10 exons. NCBI's taxonomy places the organism in Eukaryota, Metazoa, Chordata, Actinopteri, Salmoniformes, Salmonidae. The record is from RefSeq and is a predicted model, not a curated record.
UCCUGCUGCAUGGCUGCCAGGCUCUCUCUGGACACUACCUGGUGGAGAGAGGGGUCAGAGGUUAGAGGUCAGGUAUAGUGUUCCUGCUGCAUGGCUGCCAGGCUCUCUCUGGACACUACCUGGUGGAGAGAGGGGUCAGAGGUUAGAGGUCAGGUAUAGUGUUCCGGCUGCAUGGCUGCCAGGCUCUCUCUGGACACUACCUGGUGGAGAGAGGGGUCAGAGGUUAGAGGUCAGGUAUAGUGUUCCUGCUGCAUGGCUGCCAGGCUCUCUCUGGACACUACCUGGUGGAGAGAGGGGUCAGAGGUUAGAGGUCAGGUAUAGUGUUCCUGCUGCAUGGCUGCCAGGCUCUCUCUGGACACUACCUGGUGGAGAGAGGGGUCAGAGGUCAGGUAUAGUGUUCCUGCUGCAUGGCUGCCAGGCUCUCUCUGGACACUACCUGGUGGAGAGAGGGGUCAGAGGUUAGAGGUCAGGUAUAGUGUUCCUGCUGCAUGGCUGCCAGACUCUCUCUGGACACUACCUGGUGGAGAGAGGGGUCAGAGGUUACACUAGGUCAGGUAUAGUGUUCCUGCUCCAUCGCAGCCAGGUUCUCUGCUUACUACCUGGUGGAGGGGGGUCAGAGGUUAGAGGUCAGGUAUAGGAUUAGAAUCAGAGGAAAUGAUAGACGUCUUUAGAAUCAGAUUCAUAGUCCUCCCUAUAAGGUGGCACGGUAGAAUGUAAUGAGGUCUCUGAUGCUACCACAGUAGAAUGUAAUGAGGUCUCUGAUGCUACCACAGUAGAAUGUAAUGAGGUCUCUGAUGCUACCACAGUAGAAUGUAAUGAGGUCUCUGAUGCUACCACAGUAGAAUGUAAUGAGGUCUCUGAUGCUACCACAGUAGAAUGUAAUGAGGUCUCUGAUGCUACCACAGUAGAAUGUAAUGAGGUCUCUGAUGCUACCACAGUAGAAUGUAAUGAGGUCUCUGAUGCUACCACAGUAGAAUGUAAUGAGGUCUCUGAUGCUACCACAGUAGAAUGUAAUGAGGUCUCUGAUGCUACCACAGUAGAAUGUAAUGAGGUCUCUGAUGCUACCACAGUAGAAUGUAAUGAGGUCUCUGAUGCUACCGCAGUAGAAUGUAAUGAGGUCUCUGAUGCUACCGCAGUAGAAUGUAAUGAGGUCUCUGAUGCUACCGCAGUAGAAUGUAAUGAGGUCUCUGAUGCUACCGCAGUAGAAUGUAAUGAGGUCUCUGAUGCUACCACAGUAGAAUGUAAUGAGGUCUCUGAUGCUACCGCAGUAGAAUGUAAUGAGGUCUCUGAUGCUACCGCAGUAGAAUGUAAUGAUGUCUCUGAUGCUACCGCAGUAGAAUGUAAUGAGGUCUCUGAUGCUACCGCAGUAGAAUGUAAUGAGGUCUCUGAUGCUACCGCAGUAGAAUGUAAUGAGGUCUCUGAUGCUACCACAGUAGAAUGUAAUGAGGUCUCUGAUGCUACCACAGUAGAAUGUAAUGAGGUCUCUGAUGCUACCACAGUAUAAUUCAAUAUCCCAAGCCUAAUAGGGAACUAGUUUUUCCCCCAACAUAUCCCUGCAUUUAGAGGAGCAGAUGCUACUGUGAUUGGCCAGCACCACCCCUAGAUGUGGCCCUUUAGAGGAGCAGAUGCUACUGUGAUUGGCCAGCACCACCCCUAGAUGUGGCCCUUUAGAGGAGCAGAUGCUACUGUGAUUGGCCAGCACCACCCCUAGAUGUGGCCUUUUAGAGGAGCAGAUGCUACUGUGAUUGGCCAGCACCACCCCUAGAUGUGGCCCUUUAGAGGAGCAGAUGCUACUGUGAUUGGCCAGCACCACCCCUAGAUGUGGCCCUUUAGAGGAGCAGAUGCUACUGUGAUUGGCCAGCACCACCCCUAGAUGUGGCCCUUUAGAGGAGCAGAUGCUCCUGUGAUUGGCCAGCACCACCCCUAGAUGUGGCCCUUUAGAGGAGCAGAUGCUACUGUGAUUGGCCAGCACCACCCCUAGAUGUGGCCCUUUAGAGGAGCAGAUGCUACUGUGAUUGGCCAGCACCACCCCUAGAUGUGGCCCUUUAGAGGAGCAGAUCUUACUGUGAUUGGCCAGCACCACCCCGAGAUGUGGCCCUUUAGAGGAGCAGAUUUAAGUACCCCCAGCGGG